GUACCGUCGACAUUUAUCACAAAUACCUUCAUGUUUGGCUCUCAGUUCUCAGCGCUGAUUGGUCUAUCUAGGCAUCAGUCAAGCUUAAGCCACGCCCCUUAACCCCUUCAGUCACUCGCUGUAUUGUUCCUCCGUGUUUACUGCUGUGUUUAGUGUAGCGAGCCGAGCACGUAUAUGCGGAGAUCUCUUCGAAAGCAGCUGUUUUUCCCCGUGUGUUUCGCAGAGUCUCUUUAGGAAUCCAACAUGCCUAAAAGAAAGAAUGCAGACAGGGAUGCCAAGGAUGAGCCUCAGAGGAGAUCUGCACGGUUAUCAGCAAGACCAGCUUAUGUGAAGGCUGAACCCAAACCAAAAAAGACAACUAAGAAAGACAAAGCAGCUAAUGUCAAAAAGGAGGAUAAAAAGACCAAGGUGAAGGCCAAGGAGAGCUCAGAGUCUGCAGCCAGCGAGGAGAACCACUCCGAAAAUUGAGAGGCCAAGACCAACGCGGUCACAAAGACUCAAAAAGCAACAAAGGAAGUGAAAUCUGAGUAGCACUAUUGCCUCCCAUCAACACUGUCAUCACAGCUCCCCAUCACUCCUAGUGUUGUGUCAUUGCCCAACCUCCAAGGCAUAUUGUUCACAGAGAAAUAUUUUUAUCAAUGAUUUUAUAAGUAUCAGCACAGGUUUUUUAGCACAAAAUUAAGCUAAAUGCUGAGCACCCUGUAGAUCUGCAGCGAUUGUUUCUGCAAGAAUGCCACACUAAAGGUAUUUUUAAAUGCCAUUUAUUGUUAUUGAUAACUUAUUUGGUCUAGAAAAAUCAUAUCUGCCUCUAGAGUUUGGAGUGUUUUCUUAAAGUGUUUCCGCAUGCUCUUCAUCCUCCUUCCUCACACUUGUUUUUAAGGUUUUAAAAAGUGGUUUUAAAUGGCUGGGGGAAGUUUACUUUUUUGACUUUGUAUAUUUUCUUUGCUAUUUAGACAUUUGUCCUAGAUUUUGGUGUAUUAUUCUUAACGGGGGGAGGUGGGUGGUGGGGAUCACAACCUUCAAGAAGAGAUUUGAGAGAGCUGAUAUAUUUCACUGUAUCUUGAAAAAAAAUCUAAAAAAUAAAAAAUGGCAGCUUAUUAAAUAUGAUUUUUUUCAUGCAAAUUGCUUUUUUUUUUUACCAUGUGAUUGACGUGUUGAAGUCUGCAGGUUGUUAUGUACGCUCUCUGAUGUUGCAGUGUCUGCUAAUAAAGAAAAGAGUGGAAUUUUCCUCACUUUUGCCUCUCCCUUUUUUAUUCAGACAUUAUAAACUACAG
RNAcentral lists this long non-coding RNA (1274 nucleotides) under Sinocyclocheilus anshuiensis. Its description in RNAcentral is "lncRNA (ENSSANG00000007020.1)". The record is from RNAcentral. Lineage: Eukaryota; Metazoa; Chordata; Actinopteri; Cypriniformes; Cyprinidae.